This 206-nucleotide long non-coding RNA is filed under the name Lathyrus oleraceus (garden pea). RNAcentral's name for it is "Pisum sativum (pea) long non-coding RNA (PSAT_LNC029743)". Lineage: Eukaryota; Viridiplantae; Streptophyta; Magnoliopsida; Fabales; Fabaceae. The record is from RNAcentral.
CAACAAUGGGAGUCAUUCAAUUAACUGUUUUGGAACCAAUGGAAGCUAGCAAACAGCAUCAGGAUACUUUCCGGGGUUUAUCCCGUAUGCUCAUAACGAUUUACAUUUCAUUUUAUAAUUAAUAUGACAAUUAUAUGGGUUUGAAGUAUUCUCUUUCUGUAUAGUUAUCAAAAAACAUGAUUUUAAUAAACAAGUCGAAAAUGAGA